UGGGGCGCGCGGCGCGCUGAUUGGCCCCGGGCGGAAAUGGGAGGGGAGCGACCGAGGUGAUAUAAAGGGCGGCGCGGGGCGUGCCGCGGCGGGGUGGCGGCGGCCGGCAAGGUGGAGAGCAAACCAACUGCCUUACGACAGUCAUCUUCAGUUUGGUAGUGGUUUGUGACCCAAGAAAGGAUUUUCCCACUGACUGAGCUGAAGUAAGAGAGAGGGGCCUGUCCUGGAGCUUAGGGUACUGUUCCUGCCCAUGGCUCAGCAGAGGGGAAGGAAAAAAUGCUACCUGCAGUUUAACAGUUCUGUGAAUGAAAAAACUUACUUUUAAUGCACAGCUUGCAACCUGGUAGGACUCAAAACAAGGUGUGUUUUAUUAAUUCUGUUUAGUAUCACACACUGAAGUUUGAGGCACCAAUGGCAGGAGAGACUGGCACUGCUAAGACUGCAAUUCAUCCAGCAACUCACAUCUUUCUCAUGAAGUCUUGUCUGAGGAAUACUGGGGCAUGUGUCAGCAGAGAAGCUGUGGUGUUGCACUUCAACAGGAGUGUAUGUCAUUUGUGCCUCAUGUGUCUGAAAAUGGAAAGGCGGUUAGGGAACUGAGUAUUGCCAGUCACAAAGUUCAAAAAAACUUCUAGGGCUGAAAAUGCUGUUUUACAAAGGUGUGGGGUCAGGGAGUGCAAGUCUUUCUUCUGUUUUUUUGUGUUCUGGUUGAUUUGGGCCAUCUUUUAAAAUUAUUUCAACAACCAUAAGGGCCAGAAACUUACUGUUUUUUAACAUCUUUUAUGUCUCUCUCUUUUUUUUUUUUUUAGUUUGUAUUUUGAUUCUUGAAACUCUUCAUAAAGCUUGAAUUUCAUAUAGAAUAGCCCUAUUUCUUCUUAAAAUUUGAUGAUAUGCUCUCAUUUUCAUGUAUGUAUUAGCAAAGUGUAAUAUUUCUUUUAAAACUUUUAAUAUUUUCAGGCUUCCUUCCAUUUAAAAUUAUAAUUCUCUGCUAUGUCAAUUAAAUGCUACACCAAUUUUCUUGAAGUUGAGUAAUUUUUGCCUUCAGUUCUACCUCUGAAUUUCAUCAGCACCGGUUAGGGCUGUCCAUCAGCAGCACAUUACUUAAACCUGUACAAAAAAUAUCCAGCUUUUUUUCAUUAAUCUGGUAUUCCUAGAAUAUAUUUCUACAUUUCAAUUCUUCUCUUUUCACUACAAUUCAUUUUACUCAUCACUAAUGUGGUUGCAGCUCAACUCAGCUCAGUUUGCUUUGCUGGGACUACAUUCAAUCAGGAAAAAAAUUCAGGCUUGUCUCCAAUUUCUUUAUCUGGAGGAGAAAGAGCUGGUAUCAGCAUGUUCAUACCCUGAUUAACAGUUUUAAGAACAGACAAAGUAUAAACACUUGAAAUAAAUUAAUUUAUUUGCUAAGGAAAUUACCAAUCUCAUCUGCAUCUAUUUCUGAAACAGAAGAUUUGUUUGAAGUUCUUCCUUUUGGAUCUUAGCUUCCAGACAUUGUCUUCACAAAUCCCAGGUUGUAACAUCAUAAUCUCCCCUCAAGGUUCUGUUUACAUCUGAGGCUCCCCUGUAGACAGCAUUAGGUACAAAUACAUUAGAACUUAAACAUUAAGUUGUUCUCUGACAUUGAUGUGUGGACAUAGUAUUUAUCUUUAGAUGGAUAGAGAGGCCUGAAAUAUGUGACACUUAAUUCCUCUCUUUCACCUUCAUAAGGACAAAAGAAAGGGUGCUAUUAAUUAUUUUCCUAAUUUCAUAAAUAUGAUCUGGUCUCCACAAGCAUGUAAAAAGAGCUUCAUCUAAAAUUUUUCUAGUUAGCACUGGUCAAUUAGAUUGGAAGCAGAAAUCAGUGUAAAUCAAAUCAUGAUUUAACCUAGUACAGUGACUAAAGUAAUUCAGAGGCAAGAACAAAUAAGGGUGCAGGCAGAGAAGAUGUCUAGAACAUUAUAGGCAAGAUACAGAAUUUGGAGGAGGUGCAUGUCAUGAAAGGUUGUUUCAACUUGGGCUUUGCAUAAAAGAAGAAAAGCCAAAAGAGAAAACUAAAAUCCUGACAAAAAUGCAACAUUUUGAAGAGAAGGCAAAGAACAAUACAUUAACCAUAAAACAGAGAUAAAAUGUAUGGAAAUAAUUGAAGCAGCAGACUCAUGAUUCCCAAUGCAUCAAAAUAGAUACAGACUUAAGUCUGUAUUCCAACAGAAGCUAAAGCCAUGAUUAAAAUUUUGCCUGUGUUUAUGUGCUUAAUUAAUCCUAUAGUAAUUAUAGUCUCCUCCUUCAGCUUUCACUGAGCCGUAGGAUUCACUGCAUCCUGGGAAUUUAGAUUGCUCAAUACUUCGAAAUACUGCUUUUAUUUAAGUGUACCAAACCCACAGUUACAAGAUACAAUUCGUCUUUAAUGUUUUUCUAACAGUUUUUACUUGAAGGAUCUUAGUAGUACUGGGCAUUGAUCCAAUAAACAUGAACUUGUUCAAAGGUAGAAGACAGUAUAUGAGAUCCUCCCUAAUAUUUUCCUUCUUUAUUUUGCCCUGUUUAAAUAAGCAAAAAAUAGCUUUUUUUCCCCAGCAUCCAUGAAUUGUUUCACAUAUACGAUGCAGUCAAACUGUAAAAGAAAAUUGCUCUUGGAAUUUAUGCUACCAUUUCCUCCUGAUAAUGACUUUAAAAAGUAAAAUUAACAGAUUUUCUUACCAAAA
Molecule: long non-coding RNA, 2672 nt
Organism: Lepidothrix coronata (blue-crowned manakin)
Lineage: Eukaryota; Metazoa; Chordata; Aves; Passeriformes; Pipridae
Exons: 4
Source: RefSeq, a predicted model, not a curated record